GGUUAAGCGACUAAGCGUACACGGUGGAUGCCCUGGCAGUCAGAGGCGAUGAAGGACGUGCUAAUCUGCGAUAAGCGUCGGUAAGGUGAUAUGAACCGUUAUAACCGGCGAUUUCCGAAUGGGGAAACCCAGUGUGAUUCGUCACACUAUCAUUAACUGAAUCCAUAGGUUAAUGAGGCGAACCGGGGGAACUGAAACAUCUAAGUACCCCGAGGAAAAGAAAUCAACCGAGAUUCCCCCAGUAGCGGCGAGCGGACGGGGAGCAGCCCAGAGCCUGAAUCAGUGUGUGUGUUAGUGGAAGCGUCUGGAAAGGCGUGCGAUACAGGGUGACAGCCCCGUACACAAAAAUGCACAUAUUGUGAGCUUGAUGAGUAGGGCGGGACACGUGGUAUCCUGUCUGAAUAUGGGGGGACCAUCCUCCAAGGCUAAAUACUCCUGACUGACCGAUAGUGAACCAGUACCGUGAGGGAAAGGCGAAAAGAACCCCGGCGAGGGGAGUGAAAAAGAACCUGAAACCGUGUACGUACAAGCAGUGGGAGCACGCUUAGGCGUGUGACUGCGUACCUUUUGUAUAAUGGGUCAGCGACUUAUAUUCUGUAGCAAGGUUAACCGAAUAGGGGAGCCGAAGGGAAACCGAGUCUUAACUGGGCGUUAAGUUGCAGGGUAUAGACCCGAAACCCGGUGAUCUAGCCAUGGGCAGGUUGAAGGUUGGGUAACACUAACUGGAGGACCGAACCGACUAAUGUUGAAAAAUUAGCGGAUGACUUGUGGCUGGGGGUGAAAGGCCAAUCAAACCGGGAGAUAGCUGGUUCUCCCCGAAAGCUAUUUAGGUAGCGCCUCGUGAAUUCAUCUCCGGGGGUAGAGCACUGUUUCGGCAAGGGGGUCAUCCCGACUUACCAACCCGAUGCAAACUGCGAAUACCGGAGAAUGUUAUCACGGGAGACACACGGCGGGUGCUAACGUCCGUCGUGAAGAGGGAAACAACCCAGACCGCCAGCUAAGGUCCCAAAGUCAUGGUUAAGUGGGAAACGAUGUGGGAAGGCCCAGACAGCCAGGAUGUUGGCUUAGAAGCAGCCAUCAUUUAAAGAAAGCGUAAUAGCUCACUGGUCGAGUCGG
This 1116-nucleotide ribosomal RNA is filed under the name Shigella sonnei. Its description in RNAcentral is "partial 23S ribosomal RNA". It matches the Rfam family "Bacterial large subunit ribosomal RNA", at positions 1 to 1157 of the family's 2925-position model. Lineage: Bacteria; Pseudomonadati; Pseudomonadota; Gammaproteobacteria; Enterobacterales; Enterobacteriaceae. The record is from RNAcentral.